Molecule: long non-coding RNA, 2610 nt
Filed under: Zea mays
Lineage: Eukaryota; Viridiplantae; Streptophyta; Magnoliopsida; Poales; Poaceae
Description: long non-coding RNA (ZMAY_LNC004094)
Source: RNAcentral
AGCUCGACAAUUUCCCAUUUCCCCCAAACCUGCUUUCCGCCACCGUGAAAGAGGCCUCACCGUGGCCAUCUCGUCUCAGGUCCGCUCAUACCCUCUGUCCUUUCGUUUCAGUGUUCUUGUGUGCCCCUGAUGCUCCCCAACCCCGCCAAUUAGACUAGAACCCCUUAGAUCGCCGGGAACACGUUUGAUUGUUAGUGAAAUUAGUUGAGGGGAAACUCUUGUUAGGGUUUGAAUUUGGUCUCAGCCAAAGUAGAGCACCGGUCGUUGCGGGAUCCGGCCGGUACAAGCUCGCCGGAGCUCGGUUCCCCGUCGUUCGCCGUCGUGGACUAGGGAUUGUGAAGAGAGGAAAGCGCAAGGGUGUUUCUGCAAGUGUCAGCGAGACAGAGGAAUAGUGAGAGGGACUCUUUAAAGAAUUUAAAAUUGUCAGGGCUCUCUGCGCAAAACCGACAGCGCGGGCACGUUUCCGCCUGUAGAUGGGCCGACUUGGGCCAGUUCCGGUCCAGAACUGUUCAUGCUUUUUCCUUUUUCUUUUUCUGUCAGGGUUUAAGAAUUUCUAGAAAAUUAUAGAAAAAUGCUAAAAAUACCAAACCAAUUUUGCUAGACUUCUAAUUUCUUAUAGUAUUUAAUAAAAAUGGUUUCCUGAUUUUUAGUUCAAAUAGGGAAUUUUGGGGCAUUUAAAAUAGCCAAAAUCCAUACUUCUCGAAUUUUAGAGAAUAAUUAUCAAUUCCAAAAUUCACCAAACUUUUUAGGUAAACGUUAAAUAUUAUUUAGAAGCCUUGGGUAAAGUUUGGUGUGAUUUGGACCAUGUUUGGUACUUAGAACCCAAAACCCUAGCCCCCCUGCCCUAUGAACUUCACUAUAGACUCCGAAAACCCUAAUUUCCUAGAGAUCCAUGAAGGUAAGUUAUAUUCAAGACUUUAGAUAAUAUACUUUUAUUAUCUUUGCAAUUUCAUGAGCAUCACAUGAGCAUUCAUGAUUAUAUAUGACUAUAUCUAGAGAACGAGGAGGAAAUAGAAGUUGAAGAAGCGAGGACUACACCACCACCACCUGAAGAACCUCAGGCAGGAAACUGCUUUUACUUUGAUAUUUGUGGAGCAGAGCCUGAUUCACCUAUCAGUCAAGACAAGCCCCGGUGCAUUUUCCACCUCCUUGCUAUUUUAAAAUCCUUCUCACUUACUUGAUGCAUUAGGUGAUAGGAGUCGUGUGCUAAACCAAUUGCUGCAUUUCCUUCCUUGAAUUUGAUUACUUCUCCUUAAUCCCCUGUUUUACAAAAAGGUUUUUCUUAUGCUUAACUUUGCUCUAGAAAAACAAAAUGUUUUGUUUUGACAAAAGAUGAUGCUUCAAGUGGGUGGGAUUUUUAAAAAAAUAAAACUUGAUGGUGGAUCCAUCAUGACCAUGAUGGGUUCAACAUCGGAAAAGAUGUACCUCUGCCAGGUACCAAACUUUGGAUUUGAAAUGAUAAAAUUGAGACCGGGCGGGUGACUUGCACGAGAAGAGAGUCUCGGUGUAGUGUCUCCAUUUGAGUCAAUUAAGGACCUUGUCGAUGUAGGCUUGAUGAUCGAGGACCCUUUAACUGGUCACAUGCCUCAUCAUGGGUAAGCUUUGCCUCGGGCAGACUACUACCAGAAUAAGAUAACACGCAAUGGGAGUGGAGAGAUGGCGAGAGUAGCGUGUACCCUCCGUGGCAAGAGGCUGGACGGUGGUGUAUCUGUGCUCUCGGUUGGUGUGAACUUGAUCUGGUCUUAAGAACCCCGGUGGCGAGUUGACAUAUGCAAGGGUUAAGUGCUACAUAUGUCGUGUGAUUGGAGAUCCUCAGCUGAGUAUAAUUGAUUUGGAUCGCCGUAACUUCGCGGACAUGAAGGCUUGGUCACUGCCCUACACGUAGCAUUCCAGUGAACAAGAAGGGUUGAAAAGAAGUUGGCUAGUAUAGGUCAAGUGCUUGAACUAGGGUAGAAAGAACUCUAGAACAUAGGUAAUGACUUAACUUGCUAAUAAAACUGGACUUUUAAGGAUCCAUUAUUAGUAAGCAUUUCUGCAAACAGAGUCAUUGAUUAUUGAAAAGCCAUACCUUGAUCCCCAACGACCAACAUAUCGUUGAGAGUCUUUUAUUUUGACGGGUAUAACUUGCGAAAGUACAUUUCGUACUCAGGGCUUUGUCCCAUGUUGUUUUAGGUGAUGAAGCAGCAAAUUUUUGUUGCUUCUGUUCCAAGGUGGUACCUAAAGAAGAAAAUCAAGACUGAAGCUGCAGGAGGAAGGGUCCUCCGUUAAGAAAAACUUUUUACUGUUUAUCGAGAGGGGUUUUUGCCUCCCAGGUUAUGUAAUAAUAUUACUCAACACUCUUAUAUUUCGUUCUGGUCUGUAAUAAUACAACUCUUUCUUACUUUAAUAUAAAGUAAGUUAUUGUAAUUGCUUCCGCAUUUUCGUACCUCCGAUGUAUUGUAAUGUCUGCGUAGCGGGUGAAACGCUCUUGGGAAAGGUAAGGAAUACAGAUACUGAACUUGUCAAGUGAUCAGGGGCACCUGUAGGGUUGUCUGAGGUCCGUUGGACAAGGACGACUGUAGGUGGGCCUAAUGACUUGGGAGGUUCUGUCACAAAUUAUUUGAAUUUAAU